This is a non-coding RNA of Lentinula novae-zelandiae, 86 nucleotides long. NCBI's taxonomy places the organism in Eukaryota, Fungi, Basidiomycota, Agaricomycetes, Agaricales, Omphalotaceae. The record is from the annotation of a GenBank genome assembly.
UCCAAUGUGGUGUAGUGGCUAACAUUGCUGUCUUUCAUAUUUGCUCCUGAUCACAGCAGCCCGGGGUUCGAUUCCCCGCAUUGGAA